RNAcentral lists this unclassified non-coding RNA (220 nucleotides) under Oryza sativa (Asian cultivated rice). RNAcentral describes it as "partial microRNA MIR431b-8 precursor". Lineage: Eukaryota; Viridiplantae; Streptophyta; Magnoliopsida; Poales; Poaceae. The record is from RNAcentral.
UACUGUAUCCGUCCAUAUUAUUUGUCGCUUUAAGUUUUUUUAAUAUUUAAUCAUCCGUUUUAUUAAAAAAAUUAUAAUUUUUUUUUGACUUGUUUUAUUAUCAAAUAUACUUUAAAUAUGAUUUAUAUUUUUUUAUAUUUGUAUUAAUUUUUUUAAAUAAAAUGAAUGAUCAAACGUUACAAAUAAAAAAUCAAAGCGACAAGUAAUAUGAGAUGAAUGU